UCUCCGUUGGUGAACCAGCGGAGGGAUCAUUACAGGACUCACAAGACUCCUUCACCCUGUGAACCUCACUACAAGCACGUUGCUUCGGCGGGUGUCCCGGCGGGGGGUGUCCCGCGCCGGGGCGCACAGCCCGCCGGCAGCCUACUAUAUUCUGUCUCUUUGCGUUGGCAUCUCAAGAAAAAACAAACAAGUUAAAACUUUUAACAACGGAUCUCUUGGUUCUG
Molecule: unclassified non-coding RNA, 224 nt
Filed under: plant metagenome
Description: partial contains small subunit ribosomal RNA, internal transcribed spacer 1, and 5.8S ribosomal RNA
Source: RNAcentral